This is a long non-coding RNA of Brassica napus (rape), 518 nucleotides long. RefSeq lists it as uncharacterized. The record is from RefSeq and is a predicted model, not a curated record. NCBI's taxonomy places the organism in Eukaryota, Viridiplantae, Streptophyta, Magnoliopsida, Brassicales, Brassicaceae. The transcript has 2 exons.
UUGAAUUUGCAUUUUUGUCGCAUUAAAUCGAACUUCAAUUUGUUUGGACAAUAAUAGAUACGUAAAAUACUAAUACUCCUGACUAUUCAAUGAUAAUUUCAUACAAAUAAUAGCAGAAGAGAGGUAAAAAAGAGAAAACAGACCUGCGACUGAAUAUGGAGAGCCGAGGAAACAAAAAGGUCACGUAUUGCACCGUUGACCAUAGGAGGCGGCUCAUUGGAUGGUAGCAUGAUGUGGAGAAGGCCGAGAAAUAUCCAUCUCCCGCAACUUCCAGAACCACUAGAUUGUCCGGUUGAGUUAUCUCCACCGCCGGUAGAGCAACGUACAUGAUUCCAGCGAUGCGAUGUAUCUGAAUACUCCUUGUGCGAUCUGCAACUUCGCAUAAACUCCAUGAAUCAUACCAUAAUGGAGUCGCUGUCAUGAACGAAGCCUGUAACUCACUCGUCUCGAAUCUGCACUCUUCCAUGACUGGAGUAGAGUUACUCGCGUGUUGUGUAGUUAAAAUUGACUAUUUAACG